AUGGUUAAGUUAGAAAGGGCGCACGGUGGAUGCCUUGGCACUAGGAGCCGAUGAAGGACGGGACGAACACCGAUAUGCUUCGGGGAGCUGUAAGCAAGCUUUGAUCCGGAGAUUUCCGAAUGGGGAAACCCACUGCUCGUAAUGGAGUAGUAUCCAUACUUGAAUACAUAGAGUAUGAGAAGGCAUACCCGGGGAACUGAAACAUCUAAGUACCCGGAGGAAGAGAAAGCAAAUGCGAUUCCCUGAGUAGCGGCGAGCGAAACGGGAACAGCCCAAACCAAGAGGCUUGCCUCUUGGGGUUGUAGGACACUCUAUACGGAGUUACAAAGGAACGAUAUAAGCGAAGAGGUCUGGAAAGGCCCGCCAAAGAAGGUAACAGCCCUGUAACUGAAAUGUUGUUCUCUCCAGAGUGGAUCCUGAGUACGGCGGAACACGUGAAAUUCCGUCGGAAUCCGGGAGGACCAUCUCCCAAGGCUAAAUACUCCCUAGUGACCGAUAGUGAACCAGUACCGUGAGGGAAAGGUGAAAAGCACCCCGGAAGGGGAGUGAAAUAGAUCCUGAAACCGUGUGCCUACAAGUAGUCAGAGCCCGUUAAAGGGUGAUGGCGUGCCUUUUGUAGAAUGAACCGGCGAGUUACGAUCCCGUGCAAGGUUAAGCAGAAGAUGCGGAGCCGCAGCGAAAGCGAGUCUGAAUAGGGCGCAUGAGUACGUGGUCGUAGACCCGAAACCAGGUGAUCUACCCAUGUCCAGGGUGAAGUUCAGGUAACACUGAAUGGAGGCCCGAACCCACGCACGUUGAAAAGUGCGGGGAUGAGGUGUGGGUAGGGGUGAAAUGCCAAUCGAACCUGGAGAUAGCUGGUUCUCUCCGAAAUAGCUUUAGGGCUAGCCUCAAGGUAAGAGUCUCGGAGGUAGAGCACUGAUUGGACUAGGGGCCCCUACCGGGUUACCGAAUUCAGUCAAACUCCGAAUGCCGAUGACUUAUCCUUGGGAGUCAGACUGCGAGUGAUAAGAUCCGUAGUCGAAAGGGAAACAGCCCAGACCGCCAGCUAAGGUCCCAAAGUAUACGUUAAGUGGAAAAGGAUGUGGAGUUGCUUAGACAACCAGGAUGUUGGCUUAGAAGCAGCCACCAUUUAAAGAGUGCGUAAUAGCUCACUGGUCGAGUGACUCUGCGCCGAAAAUGUACCGGGGCUAAACGUAUCACCGAAGCUGCGGACUGUUCUAACGAACAGUGGUAGGAGAGCGUUCUAAGUGCUGUGAAGUCAGACCGGAAGGACUGGUGGAGCGCUUAGAAGUGAGAAUGCCGGUAUGAGUAGCGAAAGACGGGUGAGAAUCCCGUCCACCGAAUGCCUAAGGUUUCCUGAGGAAGGCUCGUCCGCUCAGGGUUAGUCGGGACCUAAGCCGAGGCCGAAAGGCGUAGGCGAUGGACAACAGGUUGAUAUUCCUGUACCACCUCCUCACCAUUUGAGCAAUGGGGGGACGCAGGAGGAUAGGGUAAGCGCGGUAUUGGAUAUCCGCGUCCAAGCAGUUAGGCUGGGAAAUAGGCAAAUCCGUUUCCCGUGAAGGCUGAGCUGUGAUGGCGAGCGAAAUUUAGUAGCGAAGUUCCUGAUUCCACACUGCCAAGAAAAGCCUCUAGCGAGGUGAGAGGUGCCCGUACCGCAAACCGACACAGGUAGGCGAGGAGAGAAUCCUAAGGUGAUCGAGAGAACUCUCGUUAAGGAACUCGGCAAAAUGACCCCGUAACUUCGGGAGAAGGGGUGCUUC
Molecule: ribosomal RNA, 1760 nt
Filed under: Bacillus pumilus
Lineage: Bacteria; Bacillati; Bacillota; Bacilli; Caryophanales; Bacillaceae
Description: partial 23S ribosomal RNA
Rfam family: Bacterial large subunit ribosomal RNA
Source: RNAcentral